RNAcentral lists this long non-coding RNA (729 nucleotides) under Mytilus galloprovincialis (Mediterranean mussel). Lineage: Eukaryota; Metazoa; Mollusca; Bivalvia; Mytilida; Mytilidae. The record is from RNAcentral.
GAGAAUAAUACAUGGCAAAAUCCGUAUCAUAUGUCGUAUCAUCCCGAGACAUCAAUAUCAGCCCAAGGGCCUUUAGGCCCGAGGGAUGAUAUUGGUCGAGGGUGAUACGGCAUGUGAUACGGAUUUUGCCAUGUAUUAUACGCUUUAUCAUAUAUUUCAACAGAAGAGUAUUAUAUUAUAUGAACUGUUUUCUGAUCCCGAUAGAUUAGCACUGGGUUACCUUCAGUUCUGCUUUUGUCUUGGUUCAAAGCCUUAAAAUAACUGCUUAUACAAAGCACCUGGGUUACCUUACCAUUUGCCUGCUGCUGUUUUAAAAAUAUUUUGUUUAUUAUUGUAUUUAUUUGAGUGUUUUGUAUUUUUUAUAGUUGCAUUAGUGUGCCAAAAAAAUAUGCAAACUUGAUGUUCGUGACGUCACAUACAAUAUGAAAACUUGACGUUCGUGACGUUACAUACCAAACAAUGACGUCAUUAAAAAAAUGACCUAUUUUGAGGAAAUUUUUUCUUAAGCAAAAAUAAACAAAAAACUUUAUGUAAAAAAAAAAAAAAAAAAAAAAAAAAGGUAUGCGAUACGGGUUUUACCAUGCGAUACGGGGUAUGCGAUACGGGUUUAGCUAUGCAAUACGGGGUAUGCGAUACAGGGUAGGUGAUACAGACUGGAAAAACAACCUUUAUUAGAUAUACAAAAUAGCUGUAUUUUGUACUAAAUAUAUGAUAAAUAAAAUUAAAACA